This 451-nucleotide ribosomal RNA is filed under the name uncultured bacterium. RNAcentral describes it as "partial 16S ribosomal RNA". It matches the Rfam family "Bacterial small subunit ribosomal RNA", at positions 354 to 796 of the family's 1533-position model. The record is from RNAcentral.
GUGGGGAAUAUUGGACAAUGGGGGGAACCCUGAUCCAGCCAUGCCGCGUGUGUGAAGAAGGCCUUUUGGUUGUAAAGCACUUUAAGCGAGGAGGAGGCUCUUCUAGUUAAUACCUAGGAUGAGUGGACGUUACUCGCAGAAUAAGCACCGGCUAACUCUGUGCCAGCAGCCGCGGUAAUACAGAGGGUGCGAGCGUUAAUCGGAUUUACUGGGUGUAAAGCGUACGUAGGCGGCUUUUUAAGUCGGAUGUGAAAUCCCUGAGCUUAACUUAGGAAUUGCAUUAGAUACUGGGAAGCUAGAGUAUGGGAGAGGAUGGUAGAAUUCCAGGUGUAGCGGUGAAAUGCGUAGAGAUCUGGAGGAAUACCGAUGGCGAAGGCAGCCAUCUGGCCUAAUACUGACGCUGAGGUACGAAAGCAUGGGGAGCAAACAGGAUUAGAUACCCGAGUAGUCC